RNAcentral lists this ribosomal RNA (429 nucleotides) under Actinomycetes bacterium. Its description in RNAcentral is "Actinobacteria bacterium partial 16S ribosomal RNA". It matches the Rfam family "Bacterial small subunit ribosomal RNA", at positions 355 to 776 of the family's 1533-position model. The record is from RNAcentral. Lineage: Bacteria; Bacillati; Actinomycetota; Actinomycetes.
UGGGGAAUAUUGGACAAUGGGCGCAAGCCUGAUCCAGCCAUGCCGCGUGAGUGAUGAAGGUCUUCGGAUCGUAAAACUCUGUUAUUAGGGAAGAACAAAUGUGUAAGUAACUAUGCACGUCUUGACGGUACCUAAUCAGAAAGCCACGGCUAACUACGUGCCAGCAGCCGCGGUAAUACGUAGGUGGCAAGCGUUAUCCGGAAUUAUUGGGCGUAAAGCGCGCGUAGGCGGUUUUUUAAGUCUGAUGUGAAAGCCCACGGCUCAACCGUGGAGGGUCAUUGGAAACUGGAAAACGUGAGUGCAGAAGAGGAAAGUGGAAUUCCAUGUGUAGCGGUGAAAUGCGCAGAGAUAUGGGGGAACACCAGUGGCGAAGGCGACUUUCUGGUCUGUAACUGACGCUGAUGUGCGAAAGCGUGGGGAUCAAACAGG